CGUAAUCAACGAACACCGUCCCAGUUCACGUACCAAAGAUAGACUUCAGUUUCUAAAGUAUCGUGGCGAGAUGAUUCAUUUUACGGAAAACGUUAGCGUAUUUUUAACGGCCAGGACAAAAUCGCGGCGAGAAAAUUUAAGCGACGUCGUGUUACGAUCGUACGGUCCGUGGCGUGCAUUUUUGGUCGCGGGCCGACGUACCGGUUGGAGGCUCUUCAAGAUUCACGGCGCUCCAAGAUUAUGACGUGUAAAUCGAGACGAUACGACACAGUCUACC
This 277-nucleotide unclassified non-coding RNA is filed under the name Bombus terrestris (buff-tailed bumblebee). Its description in RNAcentral is "misc RNA ENSBTSG00005039118.1". The record is from RNAcentral. Lineage: Eukaryota; Metazoa; Arthropoda; Insecta; Hymenoptera; Apidae.